CCUAGUUUGCCUAUACGCGCGAUCAUUCAGUAUUCCCCCGUACUCGACAGCGUGAUAAACGCUCGGGAUAUCGUUCAGUAGCCACGCAGAUACUAAUUCAGAAGAAGGGCUUUUAGUCGUUCGAGCCGCUCCGUUUUAUCAAACGUGCUCGAUGUACAGUGAAUAAAAACCUGGUUCAUAAAGGCCAACAAUAUACCCAGUUAUAUUUUUUCAAUCGAAUAAUUUCAUUUCUUCGGAUUGGCGUUGUUUGUUUGUUCAUUUUAUACUUUUCAUCGUUGAUUCGGCGAUUAAUGCGUGCGUGUGUGUUUGUGUGUUUUUCAUAAAGAUGAAAGAUCUUUGAAUUAGUUUUUUAAAUCUUAAAAAGAAACGACGAUCUCAUUCCGAAAAAGUUAUAAUAACAUUGUAUCACGUCUCGAUAAAAAUAUCCAAUGUUAUUUCCGUAUCGUAAGAGAAAUUAAAUGCAGUUUCCCAGAUUAAAAAAGUUGCUGAUGUACUCAAGAAUAAAAACUUUCAUGUAGCGUUUGAAUAUUCGCCUCGAUCUAUAAAUUUUCUAACAACAAAUAAAAAUAGAAGAACAAAAUAGAUCGAAUCAUGCAUGAGUUUUUACUUACGAUAUCGGUCAUUUUUAACUGAACAGAAGCCAGUGGAUAAAAUUCAAUUAAAUUGAGCUUUGCCCGUCGAAAGAAGAAAUAAGUUUAUUCUUGUCAAGAAUGGUUGAAGUAAAAUUCACCUUUCCGAAACGAACGUAAGAUUUUUCCAUCCAAAUAUGUUCAAAUGUAAUAUUGGCUCGAGAAACGUCUAAAGAGUGUACAAAAUGAGCUGAUACUGCUGCAGCUUAGUAAUUUUCAAAUGUACCGGAAGUGCAGGAAAUAUAUCUUGUGAAUUGCCUACAGUGUACGACUACAUUUGGGAAGUGAUUCUUAGCGAUAACUAUUCUAUGAAAAAUGAAGAAAACCAGUCAAUCCUUUUUUUUAAAUAAUGGAUCCAAGUAAAUUUACCUUUUGAACGCGAUUGCCCAUGAUUUUUGUGCGGAUGCCGUAUGCAAGUUCGUAUGAAGUUAUGGCUGUCAGUAGCACGUGCUGCGUCCAUAUUUAUCGUGUUUAUAUGUGGAACCCCACGAAGCGUGAAAGACUCUACACCCCAAAAACAGUUCUCUUCCCUAUUCUGUCGAUGGCAAGCCUCACAGAAUCGUCUCAUCCUCGAGACGAGUUAAUAACGAUAAUAAUAAUGGUAAUGACAAUACUGUCGCUCAAUUAAAUGACAAGGACUCAUCGAUGAGUAACAAUAAGCAGCGCGGUUGUUGCACUUUGACGGUCAUUUAACGUUCUACCGUUUCUCAUUACUUGACGUACAAUAAAUAAUAGUAAACAAGGCGUGAAGAACACGUUCGUUCACAUAUUAACAGCUGUGUGAAACGUAUUUAAAAAUUUGUAUUACAAAGUAAAAGAAAGAAACGCGAUUUGCCUUUCCGACUGAUGAGAUAUUCUGGAACGUUGUUCAAGAAAUAAUCUCCCGUGUUGUCACACGAAUAAAUUAUUCCGCAUACAGUCUACAAUAGAGUAUGUAUAAUUGUACAAUUUUCUGACUGAUGCAAUAAUGGAGUAACGCGAAAGAAGUGUAAAGAUAUUGUACAUUAUUCUGUAAAUUCGCUGUACAGUAAUAUUGUAAAUUCUAUUGAAGUAAAUGGUAACGUAACAACCGCAAUGGAUAUUCCAUAAAUGGUCAUAGAGUUGAGAGCGUUCGAUGAAGUAAAAGAUGUUUGUAGGUAUAUGUGUUGCGUAUAAAUGCAUAUAGUAUAUAUAGCGGCUGUGUGUGUGACUCAUUCAUUCGCAUCUGUUUAAAUUUCGUUUAAAAUCGGCUACCGAUGGUACGGUAUUUAGGGUGUGACUCUUUCCUUACAAAUAGAUAAAAGAGUGCCAAGAUCUCCGACCUGAUGUAUCUUGAUUAGAAGCGCGAGUGCUUAAGAAAUGCUAAUAUUAGAUUUGUUAGGUCUUUCUAGUCAAUAAAUUGCGAACUGGUGGGUCGUAGCGUUUGGAGUAUGAAAUGAUGGUCUGAGGUUGAUGUUCUCUCACCUUUAUUUGACAAUAUCCAAAUUCCCUUCAAUACUCGGGUUAAUACGGGUCGCAAAGAACAGGGGUAUAUUCGGUUAAAUAGGAGCUGAAGGAGAAUAAAUGUCGUAUGAUAUUGAGGGUACGAUUGGUCUUAGAGCCAUUGCCACACCGUGUCACGGUAGACGGUACAGUACUAACAUACCAUAUAAAGUUACUGGGCACUGGGCACUGGAAAAUACAAGUGGUAGAGAGAUAGAAAAUGAGGAAUGGUGGCGCUAUCUGUGGAAAUGCACUUCAAGAAAUUGGAGAAAUUUCGAUCGAAGUUGUGCCUCCGCCGAUAUAAAGACUAAACUAUCUCCCUUCGCUAUCACCCACACAGAAUUUCACACCACCGCCCUUCCAAGGCUAACUGCAACUGCGAUCGCGAAAGAGAUCAUUUCACUGUAACAGGAAACCGAAAUACGAUUGCAGUAGUAGCAGAUUCGACAUGUAAUUUCAGAUAUUGAGGAAAUGAGAAAAUAAGAGAUCUCCUUAGUAUUUUUCUGACAUUCAUAUGUGUAAAAAAUCGAGAAACCGGAUCCCAUGACCUGACAAAGCUGGAUAGAUGAAGUGAAAUUUUUUUCAUCGUCCUUUGCACAGAUCUCGUAGAGAUACCGAGAAAUAGUUGACUUUUAUAUUCGUAAUUGAAUAUUUUGAGUGCUUGUCACGAUCGAUCAUAAUCCGUAAAUGGUACGAUAAAUUUGGAUGCACGUCCAUGCGUGCUGAGAAAACGGUAUCCUAUAACCGCAUGAAUAGUUUCAUGCAUUCCUUGUGGUAUACGUUUAAACAAAAUGCAUAAGUCGAGUGUUUAUUUUUAUUUAGUUUAAAACUCCGCCAGAUACGAGGGCUAUUUAUAGUGGAGGCAUGCUCAAACCCAGCUGUCAGAUAUCCCAUACAUACGUGGUUGCACCAAGGAUUUUGUGCCUACUUCGCAGUAAAUUCUAUACGGAAAUAAAAUUGAAAAAAUUGUGCCACGUGAAUUUGAUCACGCCUACGAUAAUUUGAUCCUCGGUUAGCUAGACGUCGUGUUCAAUGUUUUUUUCUCUUUUCAAGGAUCCUUGUCCAUUGCUAAAGAAGGUAACACAAAACGAUGGGGUGCAAGACUCUAAGAUUUUUGGCUCGUAUAGGCGGACCGGUGUGGUGGUGCGGCAGAUGAUAAAAGGAGUUGCGGACCUUCUUCAGCUACUGUACCAGCAAACGCACUUAGCCAUCUUGCACAUGGCGAUAAUUGUUCCCAGGUCAACCCAGAGACUCUAAACAACUUUCAUCCAAUGUUGCCAAAUCCAGGAGUUGAGCAGCUUGCGAAUAUUGGAGUCCUCCGUAUUGGGGAUAAACAAAUGCGUUCGGACGUGACCAAUCUCCGCAUUCCACCUGCAUAUAGAUAUUCAACCAGCCAGGCGCAGUUACUGGUGAAAGAUUCCAUCCCAGUCCUUUUAGAACGAUUAAUUCUUUGCCUAGUAUUUCGCUCUCUGUACAUGCACCAUCUGUGACAUACGCAAAUUCCGCUAUUUUGGCUAUGAACAAGCACGUGAUACCAAUCAGUUGUAGUUGACUUUUGGGUACAUUCUGAUGAGUGGAAAGGUAUCUAUCUAUAUAAUCCAUGGCCAAAUAAUAAGUCUCCCUGUGAAGCUUAUAAACUUCACAAACUUCUAUGAG
Molecule: RNA transcript, 3746 nt
Organism: Athalia rosae (coleseed sawfly)
Lineage: Eukaryota; Metazoa; Arthropoda; Insecta; Hymenoptera; Athaliidae
Exons: 4
Source: RefSeq, a predicted model, not a curated record